GCUGUAACAGGCCAGUGGGGACUCCCAGAUCCUAUUGCAACAGAAAACACAGGUAAAUCCGUAUCUGAAUACACAUUGUAACAAGAAAGCUCAUAUAGAAAGCAGCCUCUCUAACCAUGGCCUCAACAGACGUUUGCAGAUUAACGAAUUACAGACAGAACUUCAUAAGAUCAUAAUCUUUUUUUUUCGCGAUCGGGACUUCACCCGUAUUUCAUUAAGAGGGAAACAAGGAAACAACAUACAGAGAAAGAAUGCAGGAUUUAGGAAGGCCAAAUGUAAGGAUUGCACCCAGGGGAAC
RNAcentral lists this long non-coding RNA (298 nucleotides) under Sorghum bicolor (sorghum). Its description in RNAcentral is "long non-coding RNA (SBIC_LNC016893)". Lineage: Eukaryota; Viridiplantae; Streptophyta; Magnoliopsida; Poales; Poaceae. The record is from RNAcentral.